RNAcentral lists this ribosomal RNA (421 nucleotides) under uncultured bacterium. RNAcentral describes it as "partial 16S ribosomal RNA". It matches the Rfam family "Bacterial small subunit ribosomal RNA", at positions 355 to 793 of the family's 1533-position model. The record is from RNAcentral.
UGGGGAAUAUUGCACAAUGGGCGAAAGCCUGAUGCAGCAACGCCGCGUGAGUGAUGAAGGUCUUCGGAUUGUAAAGCUCUGUCUUUUGGGACGAUAAUGACGGUACCAAAGGAGGAAGCCACGGCUAACUACGUGCCGGCAGCCGCGGUAAUACGUAGGUGGCGAGCGUUGUCCGGAUUUACUGGGCGUAAAGGGUGCGUAGGCGGAUGUUUAAGUGAGAUGUGAAAUACCCGGGCUUAACUUGGGUGCUGCAUUUCAAACUGGAUAUCUAGAGUGCAGGAGAGGAGAAUGGAAUUCCUAGUGUAGCGGUGAAAUGCGUAGAGAUUAGGAAGAACACCAGUGGCGAAGGCGAUUCUCUGGACUGUAACUGACGCUGAGGCACGAAAGCGUGGGUAGCAAACAGGAUUAGAUACCCUGGUAG